Molecule: long non-coding RNA, 345 nt
Organism: Carassius auratus (goldfish)
Lineage: Eukaryota; Metazoa; Chordata; Actinopteri; Cypriniformes; Cyprinidae
Exons: 3
Source: RefSeq, a predicted model, not a curated record
GUAGAUGAAUAUUGUCUAAUUUUAUGUUCUGGAUUUGUUUCACAGACACAUUGAGAACUGGUCGGGCUUGCAGACUUUGAGGGACGUUGACAUGGAGUUGUACACUGGGCUUCAGAGACUGAACAUUGUGAACUGCAACUUACGUACGAUUCAGUCACGAGCCUUCGCCAAGAACCCCAACCUGCACUACAUAAACUUGUCCGGGAACCCUCUGACAACUCUCUCAUGGCAACUCUUUCAGAAUCUCCAACUUUUCGAGCUGUAAGUUAAAUGUGUUUUUGUUCUUUCUCUAUAUUCUCCAGCCUUUAUUGAUUUUUCACUGUGGUUAACUGGCUGAUGGACACC